This 532-nucleotide ribosomal RNA is filed under the name uncultured bacterium. RNAcentral describes it as "bacterial SSU rRNA". It matches the Rfam family "Bacterial small subunit ribosomal RNA", at positions 777 to 1325 of the family's 1533-position model. The record is from RNAcentral.
AAUAGAUACCCGGGUAGUCCACGCCGUAAACGAUGGAUGCUAGCUGUUAGGAGUAUCGACCCCCUAGUAGCGCAGCUAACGCGUUAAGCAUCCCGCCUGUGGAGUACGGUCGCAAGACUAAAACAUAAAGGAAUUGACGGGGACCCGCACGAGCGGUGGAGCGUGUUGUUUAAUUCGAUGGUAAGCGAAGAACCUUACCCAGGCUUGACAUCCUGCCAAGUUCUCCGAAAGGAGAGUGUGCCUUCGGGCCGCAGUGACAGGUGAUGCAUGGCCGUCGUCAGCUCGUGUCGUGAGAUGUUUGGUUAAGUCCAUCAACGAGCGCAACCCUUAUAGUUAGUUGUAUUUCUCUAGCUAGACUGCCCUGGUAACAGGGAGGAAGGGGGGAUGAUGUCAGGUCAGUAUUUCCCCUACGUCUGGGGCUACAAACACGCUACAAUGGCCGGUACAAAGGGCAGCCAACCCGCGAGGGGGAGCAAAUCCCAUCAAAACCGGUCUCAGUUCGGAUUGUAGGCUGAAACCCGCCUGCAUGAAG